UACGGUGCUGAAGCAACAAAUGCCCUGCUUCCAGGAAAAGCCUCUAAGCAUCAGGUAACAUCAAAUCGUACCCCAAACCGACACAGGUGGUCAGGUAGAGAAUACCAAGGCGCUUGAGAGAACUCGGGUGAAGGAACUAGGCAAAAUGGUGCCGUAACUUCGGGAGAAGGCACGCUGAUAUGUAGGUGAAGCGACUUGCUCGUGGAGCUGAAAUCAGUCGAAGAUACCAGCUGGCUGCAACUGUUUAUUAAAAACACAGCACUGUGCAAACACGAAAGUGGACGUAUACGGUGUGACGCCUUCCCGGUGCCGGAAGGUUAAUUGAUGGGGUUAGCCGCAAGGCGAAGCUCUUGAUCGAAGCCCCGGUAAACGGCGGCCGUAACAAUAACGGUCCUAAGGUAGCGAAAUUCCUUGUCGGGUAAGUUCCGACCUGCACGAAUGGCGUAAUGAUGGCCAGGCUGUCUCCACCCGAGACUCAGUGAAAUUGAACUCGCUGUGAAGAUGCAGUGUACCCGCGGCAAGACGGAAAGACCCCGUGAACCUUUACUAUAGCUUGACACUGAACAUUGAGCCUUGAUGUGUAGGAUAGGUGGGAGGCUUUGAAGUGUGGACGCCAGUCUGCAUGGAGCCGACCUUGAAAUACCACCCUUUAAUGUUUGAUGUUCUAACGUUGACCCGUAAUCCGGGUUGCGGACAGUGUCUGGUGGGUAGUUUGACUGGGGCGGUCUCCUCCUAAAGAGUAACGGAGGAGCACGAAGGUUGGCUAAUCCUGGUCGGACAUCAGGAGGUUAGUGCAAUGGCAUAAGCCAGCUUGACUGCGAGCGUGACGGCGCGAGCAGGUGCGAAAGCAGGUCAUAGUGAUCCGGUGGUUCUGAAUGGAAGGGCCAUCGCUCAACGGAUAAAAGGUACUCCGGGGAUAACAGGCUGAUACCGCCCAAGAGUUCAUAUCGACGGCGGUGUUUGGCACCUCGAUGUCGGCUCAUCACAUCCUGGGGCUGAAGUAGGUCCCAAGGGUAUGGCUGUUCGCCAUUAAAGUGGUACGCGAGCUGGGUUUAGAACGUCGUGAGACAGUUCGGUCACUAUCUGCCGUGGGCGCUGGAGAACUGAGGGGGGCUGCUCCUAGUACGAGAGGACCGGAGUGGACGCAUCACUGGUGUUCGGGUUGUCAUGCCAAUGGCACUGCCCGGUAGCUAAAUGCGGAAGAGAUAAGUGCUGAAAGCAUCUAAGCACGAAACUUGCCCCGAGAUGAGUUCUCCCUGACUCCUUGAGAGUCCUGAAGGAACGUUGAAGACGACGACGUUGAUAGGCCGGGUGUGUAAGCGCAGCGAUGCGUUGAGCUAACCGGUACUAAUGAACCGUGAGGCUUAACCUC
Molecule: ribosomal RNA, 1372 nt
Filed under: metagenome
Description: bacterial LSU rRNA
Rfam family: Bacterial large subunit ribosomal RNA
Source: RNAcentral